RNAcentral lists this ribosomal RNA (254 nucleotides) under uncultured bacterium. RNAcentral's name for it is "partial 16S ribosomal RNA". It matches the Rfam family "Bacterial small subunit ribosomal RNA", at positions 524 to 776 of the family's 1533-position model. The record is from RNAcentral.
UACAGAGGUCCCAAGCGUUGUUCGGAUUCACUGGGCGUAAAGGGUGCGUAGGCGGUCGGGUAAGUCUGAUGUGAAAUCUCACAGCUUAACUGUGAAACUGCAUUGGAUACUAUUCGGCUAGAGAGUUGGAGGGGGGACUGGAAUUCUUGGUGUAGCAGUGAAAUGCGUAGAUAUCAAGAGGAACACCAGUGGCGAAGGCGAGUCCCUGGACAACUUCUGACGCUGAGGCACGAAAGCUAGGGGGAGCAAACAGG